GGAAAACUAGAUCACAGAGCCCUGGGGAAGGGCUGUGCUUGGCACAGAAAAGAAGUGAUCCUGUCAGCAGGCAGGAGAGAGGGACAUGGGUUCAGCACCCAGCAGCUCAGACGACAGCUCCUGAACAGAGCGAGGGGGCCAAGAGCACGCCUCACAUCAAGGGCACCUGGAUGCGAGAGGUGCAAGGAGAAGAAAAAGGAACGAUUUCCAGAGUGUGGCAAGCGGAACUACUACAAUGAACUUAGAACAUGCGGACGUUUCCCAGGCCCCAGCCCCUGCUAAUCUGUGUGAGGGCGGGUCCCAGAGUGAGAGGAACCCCCUGCCUGGAUGCUCAUGGAAACAGAGUCCGCAUGGCAAUGGAG
This 362-nucleotide long non-coding RNA is filed under the name Felis catus (domestic cat). RNAcentral describes it as "lncRNA (ENSFCAG00000053397.1)". Lineage: Eukaryota; Metazoa; Chordata; Mammalia; Carnivora; Felidae. The record is from RNAcentral.